This 166-nucleotide non-coding RNA is filed under the name human gut metagenome. RNAcentral describes it as "Lysine riboswitch". It matches the Rfam family "Lysine riboswitch aptamer". Rfam says of the family: Riboswitches are metabolite binding domains within certain messenger RNAs that serve as precision sensors for their corresponding targets. Allosteric rearrangement of mRNA structure is mediated by ligand binding, and this results in modulation of gene expression. This family includes riboswitches that sense lysine in a number of genes involved in lysine metabolism, including lysC. The record is from RNAcentral.
AAGGUAGAGGCGCGUGUUUCAAUAGUACUUAUGCGGAGGCGGACGGAUGCCUGUGAACCAUAAGGAAAGGGAAAAACGCCGAAGCGGUAAUUUUCCGUAGAGAUUAUUGCUGGGCAUGCUGUAAACAACAGUAUGACUGUCAUCAACAAAUGAUGGGGAGCUAUCG